ACCCGCUGAACUUAAGCAUAUCAAUAAGCGGAGGAAAAGAAACCAACAGGGAUUGCCCUAGUAACGGCGAGUGAAGCGGCAACAGCUCAAAUUUGAAAUCUGGCGCAAGCCCGAGUUGUAAUUUGUAGAGAAUGCUUCUAGGUAGCGACCGGUCUAAGUUCCUUGGAACAGGACGUCAUAGAGGGUGAGAAUCCCGUAUGUGACUGGCCCGCACCUUCUACGUAGCUCCUUCGACGAGUCGAGUUGUUUGGGAAUGCAGCUCUAAAUGGGAGGUAAAUUUCUUCUAAAGCUAAAUACCGGCCAGAGACCGAUAGCGCACAAGUAGAGUGAUCGAAAGAUGAAAAGCACUUUGGAAAGAGAGUUAAAAAGCACGUGAAAUUGUUGAAAGGGAAGCGCUCACAACCAGACUUCUAGGCAGUGUUCCGCCGGUCUUUUGACCGGUCUACUCUCUGUCUCGAGGCCAACAUCAUCUGGGACCGCCGGAUAAGACCUUAGGAAUGUAGCUCCCCUCGGGGAGUGUUAUAGCCUCUGGUGAUGCGGCGCGUCUCGGGUGAGGUCCGCGCUUCGGCAAGGAUGUUGGCGUAAUGGUUGUCAGCGGCCCGUCUUGAAACACGGACCAAGGAGUCUAACAUCUAUGCGAGUGUUCGGGUGUCAAACCCCUACGCGUAAUGAAAGUGAACGGAGGUGGGAAGCGUAAGCUGCACCAUCGACCGAUCCUGAUGUCCUCGGAUGGAUUUGAGCAAGAGCAUAGCUGUUGGGACCCGAAAGAUGGUGAACUAUGCCUGAAUAGGGUGAAGCCAGAGGAAACUCUGGUGGAGGCUCGCAGCGGUUCUGACGUGCAAAUCGAUCGUCAAAUUUGGGUAUAGGGGCGAAAGACUAAUCGAACCAUCUAGUAGCUGGUUCCUGCCGAAGUUUCCCUCA
This 921-nucleotide ribosomal RNA is filed under the name Ramularia endophylla. Its description in RNAcentral is "LSU rRNA". It matches the Rfam family "Eukaryotic large subunit ribosomal RNA", at positions 23 to 975 of the family's 3401-position model. Lineage: Eukaryota; Fungi; Ascomycota; Dothideomycetes; Mycosphaerellales; Mycosphaerellaceae. The record is from RNAcentral.